CAUAGAGGCGACACAAUGCUGAUUUUAAAAAUACUCUUCAGUGGAUGGAACUUGGAGCAGUGCAGUGUUAUUUCCAUUGUUACAUGGACAGAAGAUAUUACCUUUGUUAGCAUAGAAAUAAGACUGAUGGCUCCUACUCUACUCCUCUAUUUCCAUGCAUUUCCAGCUAAACUAAAAGGGUAAGAUUAUUUCACAAAUAUUACAGGAGACGCAGAACAUAUUCAUGAGCUGCCAAGAGAAGCAUCAGCAGGCUCUGCAAUGCCAGAGACACAGGAAGGGCGGAUGCA
Molecule: non-coding RNA, 287 nt
Organism: Sturnus vulgaris (Common starling)
Lineage: Eukaryota; Metazoa; Chordata; Aves; Passeriformes; Sturnidae
Source: RefSeq, a predicted model, not a curated record